GCUCAUAGCCAUACCACCUUGAACACGUCAGAUCUCGCCUGAUCUCGGAAGCUAAGCAGCGUCGGGCCUGGUUAGCACUUGGAUGGGAAGAACCCGAUUCUCCUCACUGAGACCUUGUGAUGAUCC
Molecule: ribosomal RNA, 126 nt
Filed under: Cynoglossus semilaevis (tongue sole)
Lineage: Eukaryota; Metazoa; Chordata; Actinopteri; Pleuronectiformes; Cynoglossidae
Source: RNAcentral